This 301-nucleotide ribosomal RNA is filed under the name uncultured bacterium. RNAcentral's name for it is "partial 16S ribosomal RNA". It matches the Rfam family "Bacterial small subunit ribosomal RNA", at positions 509 to 809 of the family's 1533-position model. The record is from RNAcentral.
CAGUCGCCACGGUAAUACGGAGGGGGCUAGCGUUGUUCGGAAUUACUGGGCGUAAAGCGCACGUAGGCGGCUUGGUAAGUUAGAGGUGAAAGCCCGGAGCUCAACUCCGGAAUUGCCUUUAAGACUGCCGAGCUAGCAGGUGAGAGAGGUAAGUGGAAUUCCGAGUGUAGAGGUGAAAUUCGUAGAUAUUCGGAAGAACACCAGUGGCGAAGGCGGCUUACUGGCUCAUACUGGACGCUGAGGUGCGAAAGCGUGGGGAGCAAACAGGAUUAGAUACCCCUGUAGUCCCUGUCUCUUAUAA